This 6783-nucleotide long non-coding RNA is filed under the name Triticum aestivum (bread wheat). RNAcentral describes it as "long non-coding RNA (TAES_LNC003242)". The record is from RNAcentral. Lineage: Eukaryota; Viridiplantae; Streptophyta; Magnoliopsida; Poales; Poaceae.
UCCCAUUUGAUACAAAUGCAUACUUAGUAUAGAUCUGAUGCUUGCGAAUACUUUGGAUGAGUACUCACGGUUGCUUUGCUACCCCCUUUUCCUCUUUCUUUCUUCUUUCCGGUUGAUGCAACCAGAUGGUGGGUCCUUGGAGCCAGAUGCCACCGCAGAUGGAUGCUACUACGUGAAGACUGCCGACGUCCAUGAGUAGUUAGGAGGUCCCAGGUAGGAGGCCUUGCCUCUUCGAUCAUGUUUCUUUUGUGCUAGCCUUCUUAAGGCAUUCUUGUUUAACCUUAUGUCUGUACUCAGAUAUUGCUGCUUCCGCUGACUCUUGUGUAUCGAGCUUCUAUUCAAGCCCUCGAGGCCCGUGGCUUGUAAUAUAAAGCUUGUAUUAUUUUGAUUUGUGUCUACAGUUGUGUUGUGAUAUCUUCCCUUGAGUCCCUGAUCUUGAUCGUACACAUUUGCGUGUAUGAUUAGUGUACGAUUGAAUCGGGGGCGUCACAAGUUGGUAUCAGAGCCAACUGCCUGUAGGAUCGCCCUUUCCAACUCCUUGGUCGAGGUUGAGUCUAGUCUUAAAAAAAUUGAUUUACUAACAUGGCCGUGUGGCUUACGGGCCCACAUCGCCAAUUGGGUGGUAUUAGGAUCUUUUAUUCCUCGUCUAUACUCUGGGAAUCUGAUCUCUCUUAUAUUUGGGUUAAAUGGUUUUGCAAACUAUAACUCUAGGUUCUCGUAAAUACAUCUCCCGGAGAGCCCCUUCAUUCCAGAUGAUGGCCCGCUUGACCAGAAGAUUCUGAAGAUACUCUCUGAUGUUUUACCGAGUCCCUUGUACCCUUCGAAGUUGCGAUCCCUAGCACCGAUAAAUCCUUAGGUGUAACUACCUACAUUGCCGUUCAUACAGUCAUUCCUCGUUGAUCUUGUUAUUACAAGAUACCCUGAAUUUCUCCUUAUUUGUUCCGAGAAUACCUUGUGCCUACUGCCUUGCAGUUCCUUGCCGCAUGAAUACCCCUACGGAUAAUUACUCGUUCUUAUCGAGUAUCCGUUCAUCCCUAGUUAUCCUUAUGCUUCAUAAGAUACAUUGUGAUACAAUCCGAGCUUUUGAUGACCUCUACCGCCUAUUGCUCUAGAAGGUCUUACCUGCCUCCACCCUGGUUAAUUCCAUAUGCCUAGCAGUAUCCAUUGACGUCCUUUGUCAUUAUCAUCUUAAGUCUUUCGAUUUGAUAUGUUUGUGUCGCAAUCAUCAGUUGAUCCUAAAUUAUCAUUCCUGCUCAAACGUCUUCCUGAACUUGAGCUGGUUCUCGGCCAAUCAGAUUGCCAUCAGUUGUGCCCAAGUCUAUUCAACUUAUCCAUUCUUGAUCAGAGCGUUUGCUUCCGAUCCCUUGAUUUGGGAAUCAUAAUUCAUUUGCAGUUGAACUCUAAAUUCGUCAGUUGCUUCUAUAAUCUAACCUCCUUGCAUUCUUUCUUUUUCUGGUUGAGUACCGUUGCUCACAUCAGAUCCCUUGUGGACCACCAGAUCCUUUGUGGAUUUUAUCCGACAACGUCCUUCAUAUUUAGUAACCUUGUGAUCUUUUCCUUGGAUACAUAAUGCCUUCGGUAAAUCGUAUCCCUUGCUUUUGUGAACCAUGCUCUGCUUACGAGUUUGAGUAAUUUAUUCCUAAAAGUUUGUGGAAUUUGUUCCUGAGAUGCCCCGUUGGGUUGAAUCUAUGUAUUCCCUAAAUCCGGGUGAACUCGAAAGUUAUGCGGGUUAUACUCUAUUGGCUUUUCGCCAAGUAAAAUUUCAACGCUACAACUUCUUCGAAUGCGAGAAGUGCAUGGAAGGUUAUGCAUUGGAGAAGUGGGAGUUGACCUUGAGCCUUUGUGUUCAUGCCCAUGGACCCGAUGUGGAACUUAUCAUGGAAGCUUCUUGUUAUAAAGUUAAUCCCCUUGUGAUAAGUUCAUCUUAUAUCUGUGUUUGGUCCUUUGCAACCGUGGUUCCGACCAUAUUGUUCUUGUUUGAUCCCCUUUCUCGGGCAAGUUGAAGUACUUGUCUUCUGCAGACCACUUUACCUGUCCAACCCCUAUUCUGCUCUACCCUCGAGUAUUAACCUCUUGUAUCUCGAGAAUAUCACGGAACUACAUAACUUCUUUUGAGUUCUUCAUCAACUAUUUCUCGCCGAUUCAAAUUUUCCACGGGUUCUGAGUUGUUAGACACUCGAGAACGCAGAUAACUGAUUCGAGUCUACACUUCCCUUUCCAUUGUUUUGUUUAAGCUUUCUUGUGACCUAACAUAUGUGAGUAGUGUUAAUUCACUGCUUAUGUAACACCUCGGUGUACAAAAUUUGUCAGUAAGACCUUGUUACUAUUGUUGAUGACAUUCCGGUAGCCACUGAUGGACGAGAACUUUGCCUAUUGGUCCGCCUCGUCUUAACGAGCAGGAAAAUGGUUCUCUUAAUCCCUCGCCCUUGGUACCGAUGUUGUUGCCGACAUAACUGAUAGGCAAUACUCUGACUGCCUUGCUAUCAUGGCCGUGCAAAUGUUAGCACCCUUCUUGCUUUUAACCCACAUGGUGGGCCCAUAACCCACAGGUCCCAGGAUCGAAACCCGACUCUCCUGUACAUCUCUGUCUUCUAAAUUUUUUCCUCACGCUUGGUUUCAUUUGUAAUUCGCGAGCCACCUUCCUUGUGAUCUGUUCUGGUAUCAGAUGCAAUACUUAUUCCCAUUGCUAUGAACCCCUUUCACCCUCUGUUUCAGGCAACGAACGGUUGCCUACCCGGUUGAAGCUCCUUAUUGCACCUCCUUACCUUGCUCUCGAUGACUUGCUUGAAGUUCAAAUCGAGAGAUGCCUCUAUGCCAUGUUCACCGAGAUAGCCCCCAAGUACCUAUCUUGUGUUGAGCUCCGUCCUUCCCGAGUCUUUCCCCCUUACUCCACCCCUUAAAUCUCGGGACGAGAUUUCUUGUAGUGGAGGACAAUUGUGACACCCGGAUAAUUAAGCUACAGUAAUCUCCUGCUAAUGAUGCCACAUCAUCAUUCUUACUGUUGCUAAUCCUCAUUUGAUCCGAAGCAUAAUUCAAAUUCAAUUCAAAUUAAAGUCCAAAAAUUCAACUUUGUCAAACAUGCAAAAUAAAAUGUUCAAAGUGUGGCAAAUUUUCCAUAACUAAAUAUGGUGAUGAACCAACAUUUUUUCAAAGUGUUUAAAUGCCUUAAGCUAGUCAACACAAUGGCCUAGAUAAUAAUUUAAUUGUUUUUUAACUUGUAAAAAUACUAAACUAUUUUUUAAACCUCAAACUAUUUGUGGCAGUGGCAUAAGUUAGUAGUGUUGAUUUAGAGACUAGUGUUGUAUUUUGUACAACUAAAAAUAAAAAGAAACUAAUUAGAAAACAGAAAAGCAAAAUGAAAAUAAAAUGAAAAGGCCUCCCCUGACUCCCCCGGGCCUUGGCCCAUCUCACCGAACCGGCCCAACCCACCUUCUCCUUCUCCCCCCACUCGUGCACUGCUCCUCCGCCCCACGUCGCUACAGGGCGCCGUCGCCGCCUGACCACCUCGCCAACCCCGUCGCUGCAGGGAUAAGGAUGCCCCAUCUCGACCCCUCGGGCUCCUUCCCUCCACCUCGCCCAGAUACACUCUCCUCUCGCUCCCUCUCCCUUCGCUGCUCGCGCCCUGAGCCGCAUGACCAUGGCCGUCCCCCACUGAAGCCACGACCACCGACCGCCCGUGCCCCGCCAUCGAGUUCAGGAGCUCCUUCGCGUCGUACUACAUCGCCUACGUCGUCUACGAGGCCAGAUCGGCCCGGAUCGCGCCUGCAUCGACGCCACCGCGUCGUCUUCUUCCCAUCGACCCCGCCACUACCUUGCUGUCUUCCUGCUACUCCGACGCCUCCCCGACCUCGUCGUCGUGCUCCAUUGUGAGCCCCUUCGCCGCUACCCCGCGCCUCCCCUCCGAUUUUUUCGCCGUAGGCCGCCGUCCAUCCCGCUCGUCCUCGGCCGCGACCGCAGCCCCCACCCCCCCGCGCUCCAGGCCGAGGCCGCGUGCGCGCGCGUCCACGCCGGAGGCCGCGCCCCCGCCCUCCUGCUCCGACCGGCCGCGGAUGGCCAUGGCCUCGUCCUCGUCGCUUGUGGCUAGUGUUGCGCACUCCUGCUGCUACGAGCUGUUGCUCGCCCUGGCCGCCGGCGUCCCUUUACGCCGUGCGUGCUAAGGCCGCUGCUAACUAGGCCGAGCCCUUAUUAAUUAGUGGGAGCUAAUCCCCCUUUAUCACUACCCCCCAUUGACCAUUGGACCCCUCCUGUUAAUUAGUUAGGUUAAUUAAUCUAAUUGCCUAAAUAUUUUAGCCAAUAGACACUGACUGGUGGACCCCAUCUAGUUAAAUAAGCUAAUAAAACUAUGUUUAUAACAUGUUCCUUUGACACAUGGGUCCCACUGGUCCCUUUUGACCAGUCAAACUGCUGACUGGGAUAACCCAGUCAAUGACAUGCGGGUCUCCAGGGCCCUUUGAGUAGUUAACAGUCUCAAUUGACUGCUGACUUGGCAGUCAACUAGACCCCACCUGCAGCCCCUGGUGUAAAUAGCUGGGUACACUUCUGUGUACACAUAGCAAUUAGUCUUUAUUUCGAAUUAAUAAAUAAAUGCAGAAAAUGACUAAAACUUUAGAAAAUCAUAGAAAAUAAUCCGUAGCUCGGAUGAAAAAGUUUUCUACAUGAAAGUGGCUCAGAAUUUCGAGACGAAUCCGAAUACGCGGUCUGUUCACCCGCCACACGUCCCUAGCAUAGAAAACCUGCAAACUUUCCCCUCCGGUUCAUCUGUCUAAUAGACGUCCGGAACCGGGAAAACUUUCCCGGAUGUUUUCCCCCUUCGCCAGUAUCACCUAGCACCGCGUUCGAACACCUCUAGCCCCGCUUGUUGUCUUGUUAUACAUAUAUUUGCGUGUAUUUACUGUUUCUUCCCUCCUCUUCUCUCCGAUAGACCCCGAGACUGCUGCCGAUGCCCCUAUGAUCGACUACGUCGACGACGACCCUUCUUACCUUUCAUCGGAGCUUCUAGGCAAGCCCCCCUUGGAUCAUCCCGAUAUCGCCCAUUCUAUACUCUCAUGCUUGCAUUAGAUUUUGCUACUGUUAUUGAUUGCUCCUAUUUUGAUGAAUAGCCUGCUUUUGUAACCUACUGUUGUACCUUACCUGCUUAUCCUAAACUGCUUAGUAUAGGUUGGUUAGUGAUCCAUUAGUGACCCCCACCUUGUCCUUGUUGCCCCUGCUUCAUCAUCGACGACUCGAUCAAUGUGAUCGAGGACCAGAGCCUGACACCUCACAUCACAUCACGCCCCUUUAGUUGCUCGACUCUACAGAGCUACUAUCGAGUGCCGAGGGUGAUCCCCCAUAACGCACUCCUGAUGAUAAUUCUGUAGUGUAGCUAUUCGGUCGUGGUCAUUGAGGGUGAUUUCCUCUUUCACCAUUCCCGAUACGGCUCUGUCGUUCAACACCUCAAGUGUGAACCUCGAGGGUGGUCCCUCUUACAUUCACGUUGAUGAUUACAUUGAGUGGAAUCCACCGGGGGUGAUUCCUCGGGUUUUCCCCUUGAUGUUUGGACACAUGGUUACCUUGACUUUACUUGAGACCUUGGUGAAAGUCGGGCGGGCCCGGAGAGCACCCGCAAGAUGGUUACAUGGCACGGCCGGGCAUUCUAGGCUCUUGUCGUAAGUCCACGAGACAGGGCGACGGGGUCACUUUCGAUCGUGAGUCUCUGCUCGUCUCCGCAAGCUAAUAAUACACUAUGGUUUGGGUAUUUGUUCUGAGUUGGCCUCUGGCCUUUACGCAUUAACCACCACGCGAGAAUAGAUAUGGGCCUCGACAUCGCAGUAUCAGCCGAAGCUUUGUCAGAUAUCCAGUUCAGCAUUGUGGCACGGUCGUAUCGUGCUGGCCAUCCGACGCGGUGCUGGUAUCCACCCUGCACACAACGACCCGGAGUGCUAAGGGCGAUGGGCCCAAGACCCCGGAGUGCUUAGGAUGUAGACCGGCGGGGACCUCUCUGCUGAGCCUAGGUAGGGCUGCGACGUGUUGAUCUUCGAGGGCGGGCAUUGACCCCAUAAAGGUGUGUCCGGCCAGAGUGAUCGAGCAUGUUGGGUAACGUGGUGCACCCCUGCAGGGAAGACAUAUAUUCGAAUACCGUGUCCACGGUAAUGGACGUUCAGACUUAUAUCUUGAUCUUAUACAACUACAAAUGGAUACUUGAGAUAUGUGGCUCCAGGAUUGCUUUCUCGCAGGGAGUCGAGGAAGGAUCUCUGGGCAUUAAUGUUACAACAUGUUUGUUAAUUAUAAACUUCUAUUCUUUACUCUUCUACGUGCUGCAAGAUGCUCGGAGCUGCGUGAAGAUGCUAGUCUUUGAUAGGCUAGGAUUUCCCCCUCUAUUCUGGCAUUCUGCAGUGCAGUCCACAGAUACAACCCUUCCAUUUGAUACAAAUGCAUACUUAGUAUAGAUCUGAUGCUUGCGAGUACUUUGGAUGAGUACUAACGGUUGCUUUGCUACCCCCUUUUCCCCUUUCUUUCUUCUUUCCGGUUGAGGCAACCAGAUGGUGGGUCCUUGGAGCCAGAUGCCACCGCAGAUGGAUGCUACUACGUGAAGACCGCCGACGUCCAAGAUUUGUUAUGAGGUCCCAGGCAGGAGGCCUUGCCUCUUCGAUCGUGUUGCUUUUGUGCUAGACUUCUUAAGGCAUUCUUGUUUAACCUUAUGUCUGUACUCAGAUAUUGCUGCUUCCGCUGACUCUUGUGUAUCGAGCUUGUAUUCGAGCCCUCGAGGCCCGUGGCUUGUAAUAUAAAGCUUGUAUUAUUUUGAUU